GGUUUUGUAGCUUAGUUGGUAAGAGCGCCGGUCUAGCGUACACGGAUUCGUGAGUUCGAAUCUCACUAGAACGC
Non-coding RNA from Aedes aegypti (yellow fever mosquito), 74 nucleotides. The record is from Rfam. Lineage: Eukaryota; Metazoa; Arthropoda; Insecta; Diptera; Culicidae.